Molecule: ribosomal RNA, 1122 nt
Filed under: Chryseobacterium sp. SW1.8
Lineage: Bacteria; Pseudomonadati; Bacteroidota; Flavobacteriia; Flavobacteriales; Weeksellaceae
Description: bacterial SSU rRNA
Rfam family: Bacterial small subunit ribosomal RNA
Source: RNAcentral
CUAGCGGGAGGCCUAACACAUGCAAGCCGAGCGGUAUUUAUUCUUCGGAAUAGAGAGAGCGGCGUACGGGUGCUUAACACGUGUGCAACCUACCUUUAUCUGGGGGAUAGCCUUUCGAAAGAGAGAUUAAUACCCCAUAAUAUAUUGAUUGGCAUCAUUUAAUAUUGAAAACUCCGGUGGAUAGAGAUGGGCACGCGCAAGAUUAGAUAGUUGGUGAGGUAACGGCUCACCAAGUCAAUGAUCUUUAGGGGUCCUGAGAGGGAGAUCCCCCACACUGGUACUGAGACACGGACCAGACUCCUACGGGAGGCAGCAGUGAGGAAUAUUGGACAAUGGGUGAAAGCCUGAUCCAGCCAUCCCGCGUGAAGGAUGACGGUCCUAUGGAUUGUAAACUUCUUUUGUAUAGGGAUAAACCUAGAUACGUGUAUCUAGCUGAAGGUACUAUACGAAUAAGCACCGGCUAACUCCGUGCCAGCAGCCGCGGUAAUACGGAGGGUGCAAGCGUUAUCCGGAUUUAUUGGGUUUAAAGGGUCCGUAGGCGGACCGAUAAGUCAGUGGUGAAAUCUCAUAGCUUAACUAUGAAACUGCCAUUGAUACUGUCGGUCUUGAGUAAAUUAGAGGUAGCUGGAAUAAGUAGUGUAGCGGUGAAAUGCAUAGAUAUUACUUAGAACACCAAUUGCGAAGGCAGGUUACCAUGAUUUAACUGACGCUGAGGGACGAAAGCGUGGGGAGCGAACAGGAUUAGAUACCCUGGUAGUCCACGCCGUAAACGAUGCUAACUCGUUUUUGGGGCGCAAGCUUCAGAGACCAAGCGAAAGUGAUAAGUUAGCCACCUGGGGAGUACGUUCGCAAGAAUGAAACUCAAAGGAAUUGACGGGGGCCCGCACAAGCGGUGGAUUAUGUGGUUUAAUUCGAUGAUACGCGAGGAACCUUACCAAGGCUUAAAUGGGAAUUGACAGGUUUAGAAAUAGAUCCUUCUUCGGACAAUUUUCAAGGUGCUGCAUGGUUGUCGUCAGCUCGUGCCGUGAGGUGUUAGGUUAAGUGCUGCAACGAGCGCAACCCCUGUCACUAGUUGCUAACAUUAAGUUGAGGACUCUAGUGAGACUGCCUACGCAAGUAGAG